GCGGGAGUGGCGGAACUGGCAGACGCAACCGGCUUGGAGUCGGUAUGCUUACGGGUUCGAUCCCCGUCUCCCGCACCA
Molecule: transfer RNA, 78 nt
Filed under: Terriglobia bacterium
Lineage: Bacteria; Pseudomonadati; Acidobacteriota; Terriglobia
Description: tRNA-Pro
Rfam family: tRNA
About the family: Transfer RNA (tRNA) molecules are approximately 80 nucleotides in length. Their secondary structure includes four short double-helical elements and three loops (D, anti-codon, and T loops). Further hydrogen bonds mediate the characteristic L-shaped molecular structure. tRNAs have two regions of fundamental functional importance: the anti-codon, which is responsible for specific mRNA codon recognition, and the 3' end, to which the tRNAs corresponding amino acid is attached (by aminoacyl-tRNA synthetases). tRNAs cope with the degeneracy of the genetic code in two manners: having more than one tRNA (with a specific anti-codon) for a particular amino acid; and 'wobble' base-pairing, i.e. permitting non-standard base-pairing at the 3rd anti-codon position.
Source: RNAcentral